GGACUGGAGAUGAAAUAAGAUUGGCCAUGAGUCAUUCAUUGUGCUGAGUGAUGGGUGGAUUUCUCUAUACUAGUCUGCCUACUUUUUGCAUAUUUUUGAAAUUUUCCAUGAGAAAAGUUAUUUUAUAAAUAUCUAUUACCUAUUCAUAGAAAAAAAUUAGAAGUAUAUACUCAAAAUGUAACAGUGGUGAUAGGUGAUUUUUAUUUUCUUCUUUGUGCUGCCCCACAGUUUCCACAUUUCUGCAAGUGUGUAUUAUUUUUAAAAUCAAGAAAGGUGUUUUUCUUGGGAAAGUGGCUACCGAUUAUUGGCCCAGCUGGAAAUGAGUAGGCUUAACGAGCAAAAACCAAGCCCUGGCUAGAGAAAUAUAAGUUAAUUAAAUUAAGGGUAGCUUCCCAGCAGAGAGAGAGAGAGAAACCAGGUAAAGGGAAGGCGAAAGUUUUAGCUUCUUCCUCUGCUAAGGAAACUUGAGCUGUGAGAAGAGGCUUUGUGACUUCCGCCUUCUGCCCCCGGAAUGUUGGGGGCAGUUGGGGUAAUAUUUGUCUGAGCCUGGUGAUGGUCCAGAGAAAGCUGCUCAAAGUCAUCAAGGAUCACAGAAGCAAUUCCAUGUGAUGAAAGAGGGAAAAGAUUCAGACUCUAGUGGGAACUUAGACACAGUAAGGGAUGGACUGAGAUUUGAGGGAAGAACAAGAAAUAAAGGCAUGGAGGAAAAGGCAAGGAAGACUGAGAAAGACGUGGUGAAAUUACCUUAAGAUUGCAAUAUUAGGAGACUUGGAAGAAACCUCCAUCCUCUGGGACUUGGAGAAGGCUGUGCUGGAAUCUGUGUGGAGGUUAAGAAAACUAUCCCUUUGGUUGUGGCCUGAGUUUAUUAUCUCAACCCCAAUGUUGCCCUGAAAUCUGUGUUCAAGAUUCAAGAAGAUUAGGACUGCUAAGGAGAUGACCUGUCCUGCCCUGUCUAUUUUGCUGAGCCAUGUGAGACUUAUCUAAGAAACGAUCAGAAGCACUUAUAUUUCAGCACCUUGGAGAGCUACCAGUGGAUGUGGGUGAUGUCGUUUUACGCAUCAGCCAUUUGGGGCUAUGGUUCCACUGAAAACGUUGACUGGACUGCUUGAAGCGUGGCUGUCUCUUCUGACUCGCUACAUCCAGCAACCAAAGAUGUGCCUUAAAAUAUUUAACAAUUUCUCUAUUGAUACAUAUCAUACUCAUUGUUUUUGUUCUUACAAUUAUUUCUUCACUAGUCAUCUGUGGAGAAAUAUUCUUCUGUUCUGGUGCUUUUAAACUCCUAAAUUUGAAAUACUAGAUUGGUUUGCUUAUGUGAGCAUCUUUAUAAAGUCAGGGCAAUAAUUAGUUUAUUCCAGGUUUUCUCUUAUGCCAUCACCCAUGAAUCUCCUGCAUCAUACCUAGCACCUCUGAAAGAAAUAUGAGCUUUUUCAAAAGAGAGUAAAGACAUGCAUUUGAUACAGUUUUGUAAUUUCUAUUCUGUCAUACUAAUCUCAGGCUCUUAAAAACAUUUUGUUAUGGGUAAAGGAGAAAAAAUUUCAAAGAAUUUCAGGAAAAAGAAUACCUUAAAAAUGUGUAUGCUGAAAAAAUUAAAGUGAGUAUGAACAAAUGAAUGUAAUAUGUCAAUAUUAAGAGUUCUACGGCCAAAAAAGCAUUAGCAUGAUUUGAAAACAGAUUGCAUGUCUCUUUAAACAAUGGCAUCUCUAAAAAUGGGAUGCUGUUAUAAAUAUACUUCUGUUAAUUGUCUUCAUGUCAGACUUAAUUUAAUCAUAAAAAAAUUUGAUUUGAUUUUAAUACUGUAGGAAACAUAUUUUGGUUUUAAGGAUUACCUAAAAAUCAAGUUGUAAUCUUUUUAAAAAGUAUAAAAUUACUAUAUCUUCACAAAUCAGCAAGGAGUAAUGCUAGCCAGGGCUUUUCUAAGCUAACCAUACAAUCUUUUUUUUCUCAUUUUUCUUUUGGCUUUCCUUCUAUUGAAUUUCUUCUACAGGGAAUUGAUGUUGGGUAACCUUGCAACAGAUUUUAAAUCCCUUUGACUUUUAAUUUACAUUGUAUUAUUUUUACACAAAAAUCGGGUCUUGUUUCUUUCUUUUUGCUUAGGUAAACAGUUAAAAAAGCUUUAACCCAGAGAUACUUCAUCUUUUGAAAUCUGCUAAAUUUUUAACUAGCUCAAAUUUUCUUAAUUAGGCAAGAUAUAAAUAAAUUUAUAAGUAAAGUUUUUAAUCUUUUGACCCGUACAUAUUGAGCUACAGAGCAUAACAGCUACUUUAAAAAUGUAAGAAUAAGUGAUUGUAUAUCUGUGUGUGUGUGUGAGAAUGUUUAUUAAUCAUUUCUUUGUUUAUUUUAUUUUAUUCAUUCAUCAUCAAAAUAAUAGCCAAAAAUCUUCCAAUGAUUAGCUUAAUGAAGGAAAAGUUCUGUUUAAUAAAAUUUUAACAUUAAUAACAGUGUUAGGAUUAUUAAAAUGGUGUUUUGAUAUUGUCAUUCAAGCAACAUAAAAGACAUUAUAUAAAUCACUCCAUGAAAAAAAAAAGAGACAAGAUGAGUCACAUUUCCUUUCAGGCUGGCCAGAAAGAACAUUGCCAUAGAUUUGCCAGCACCUGACUAUUUUAUAACAUGGCAACAGUAUAAUAGAUUUCAACCUCAUUAAGUUUUGAGCCUGGGAUGGAACAACAUUAUGGCCAAUGGUUUAUAUUUGGCAAAAUUUAAUUUGGCCAACUUCAAUUUCCUAAAUUGGGAUCUCACUGAGAUGGCUGUUGUUGCCUGAACUCUUUUUGGGUCUUAGUGAGGUUGGCCUGAGUCUUAUGUGAGAAAGGCCAGAGCCAUGAAUUGGAUCCCAUUCUUAUUCUAUCUCUUGGUCACAGCCCACAGUUCUUGUACAGCUAACCACAACCUCAUCUUUGCAAACUUCAGAACUCUGUCUACCAAUAGGUGAAAGAAUGUUUAGUCCCUAUUCUAAUGCGUAUUGUGUGUUCAUUCAUCCUGCCAAUAUGAGUAGUAAGUGUAUUAGCAUAUUUAUAUGGUUUUCAUGUUUAUCUCUGUUAGAUAAUAAAUUUCCUGAGAAAAAGAGCUUUGCCCUAUUUUUUCAGCUUU
RNAcentral lists this long non-coding RNA (3084 nucleotides) under Equus asinus (donkey). Its description in RNAcentral is "lncRNA (ENSEASG00005035114.1)". The record is from RNAcentral. Lineage: Eukaryota; Metazoa; Chordata; Mammalia; Perissodactyla; Equidae.